UUUUUGGCUGAUGGUGCACGCGCGUGGCGAUGGGGGUAUAGCUCGCGUCCGUGCGGUACACGGGUUUGUUUUUGUUAGAAUGUCAUUCUUUUCUUUUCCAGAUGGAUCGGCUGGCAUAUUUAGCGUAGCCCGGUCCUUCAUUCGAAUCAUUUUGCCGAGGAGUUGGGGAACCGGGACUUUCUCCUACCUCGAGAAAUCAACCGCGUGUGAGACGAACCAAAAAGAUUUGCGGCGUUGUCUCGAUCGCGUCGUGGUCUGGUGAUAGAUUGGGGAGACUGGAGGAACGAUGUUGUGUUUUCUUCUUGCUUGCUUAAUUCAAUUUGAAGGGAAGGCCGACUCAGAAAUUGCACCCGACCAUCACGUGUGGCAGGGCUUGGCCGUCCGCCUCCGACAACAAAACCGAUACAUGGUUCCUUGAGAUAACAGGGGUAUAGAGGUUUGUUGCUCUAGCAUAAUACAGCAAAACAUGAGGGGAGGUCGCCCGCCACUGAUUCGUGGUGGGGGCUUUUAAACAGUUGAGUGCGGGCGGCUUGGCCGUAGAAUCGCUGGGGUUGCCACUGAGGCGAGGUGGCAAGGCGUCCGGGGGGCCUUCCCCUAGCUUCGCCUCAACGUACCAAAUCGGGGGAUUAUAAGGUUCCGACGAGGACUCUCUGGAUUUUGCACAGGCUUCAAUAAGACUACAGCUCGGACUUCACUCGGUUGGCUGGCCGGUACCACCACAGGGGAUCAACGCCCGAUGAGCCGUUCCAAGGCACACCCUCCCUUCCGGCUUCCAGCUUCACCCGACUGCAGUCCAACUCGAACCUAACGGUUUGGCUUCCGGAAUAAGUUCCAGCCAGUUGACUCGAGGUACGUGGUUUCGUCCGCGCUGUGAUGUUUCAUCUCGGUGAAGAGGCGUGGGUUUCCUUUCUUUUUAGAGAUCCUUGAGGAAAAUGUGCAGGAGGCGAGAGCGUAAGGCCAGAAAUACAUGGUAUCCAGUUUCGAGCCGGGCUGGUCCCUUGUGUAGUUCAGAUGGACGGUUCUACCUCUGAAAGGGAUUACAAAAUCCUCGAAAAACGCAGAGGGGCAAAUGCAGGAAUAAGAUCCUGUUUUAGGCGUUGGCGUUGUCGCAUUAAGUUGGGUAACCGUUUCGUUCCUCCCGGUGGUAUAUAUUGCCUCAUGUGCAGACAGCCCGGACCAGACACCUGGAACGCCGUCGUCAGGCCGGGCUCUUGAUCCCAGCUUUGAGCGGUCGGGACGGGUCCAAGAGAAUUCCAACAACUCGGAUGCUAGACUGUCUAACUCUACAGGUCCUAGGACAAAGCUACAAAUGCCCGGACUAAGUGAAGUGUAGGCCCUAGCAGAUGUACAUGUAUGUACGGAGCCCAAAUUGAUGGGCCAACUUUUAGUAAAGUUUCACGGCACAAAAUGAAGUUUAGUGUACAUCUUUACCUGUCCCGUCUUUUUGCCUUUUAUAGAGGCUCUGCUCUGAUCGAAAUGACAGACCCAUGUGGGGGGGGGGUUAAAUUUUGAGAUAUGUGCAUUUUUUUCUGAAAGGAAUUAGACUUUUCACCCAUAAGAAAAUGUUUAGUUAUAUUCUGUCAGACGUUCUGAAUUCACGAGACGUUUAUUUGUGCAAGUUCCAAAACGUUGUUGGUGUAUUUUAGAUUAUUUUACCUAGUACAGUUCCACUGCUUCAGUAGUUCGAUUGAGGCUCAUUGACUGCAGCACUGUUUAAAAUGCACCAGGUAGGUUUUCGAAAUACUGAUUAAAAAAACUGAUCUCUAUGUAUUUCUCGAUUUAUAAGUUAUAGCUCCAAAAAGGCACGAGCCUGUAAGGUUUAAAGCAGUGAAUUUUACAGAAUAACAACUCUUGACAUUCAUCAUCAGUAAUUAAGAUAAUUAAGCAAUCGUCAAAGACGCCUACAGAAGUAUGUCGAGAAGCUUCACGACCGGCAUUGGUAUAUUUUCAACUUUUUAUUUCAGGAAAUAUAUUUGUUCGUGUCUGAAGAGAAAACACUGCACGUGAAGUGCAGAUGAAAAGAAGUGUUUCUCAUUAAAAGAAAGAAGUUGUGAUAAGGUCUA
This is a long non-coding RNA of Acanthaster planci (crown-of-thorns starfish), 2063 nucleotides long. RefSeq lists it as uncharacterized. NCBI's taxonomy places the organism in Eukaryota, Metazoa, Echinodermata, Asteroidea, Valvatida, Acanthasteridae. The record is from RefSeq and is a predicted model, not a curated record.